This 188-nucleotide ribosomal RNA is filed under the name Escherichia coli. RNAcentral describes it as "partial 16S ribosomal RNA". It matches the Rfam family "Bacterial small subunit ribosomal RNA", at positions 1 to 182 of the family's 1533-position model. Lineage: Bacteria; Pseudomonadati; Pseudomonadota; Gammaproteobacteria; Enterobacterales; Enterobacteriaceae. The record is from RNAcentral.
AAAUUGAAGAGUUUGAUCAUGGCUCAGAUUGAACGCUGGCGGCAGGCCUAACACAUGCAAGUCGAACGGUAACAGGAAGAAGCUUGCUUCUUUGCUGACGAGUGGCGAACGGGUGAGUAAUGUCUGGGAAACUGCCUGAUGGAGGGGGAUAACUACUGGAAACGGUAGCUAAUACCGCAUAACGUCGC